GAUAAACGCUGUGCGGCGCACAUAAGACAUGCAAGUCGAACGGACUUAACCAUUAGUUUACUAUUGGAGCGGUUAGUGGCGGACUGGUGAGUAACACGUAAGCAACCUGCCUAUCAGAGGGGAACAACAGUUAGAAAUGACUGCUAAUACCGCAUAUGCCUUAAUUACCACAUGGUAAUAGAGGGAAAGGAGUAAUCCGCUGAUAGAUGGGCUUGCGUCUGAUUAGAUAGUUGGUAAGGUAACGGCUUACCAAGUCGACGAUCAGUAGCCGGACUGAGAGGUUGAACGGCCACAUUGGGACUGAGAUACGGCCCAGACUCCUACGGGAGGCAGCAGUCGGGAAUAUUGCGCAAUGGAGGAAACUCUGACGCAGUGACGCCGCGUGCAGGAAGAAGGUUUUCGGAUUGUAAACUGCUUUAGACAGGGAAGAAACAAGACAGUACCUGUAGAAUAAGCUCCGGCUAACUACGUGCCAGCAGCCGCGGUAAUACGUAGGGAGCAAGCGUUAUCCGGAUUUAUUGGGUGUAAAGGGUGCGUAGACGGGAAUGCAAGUUGGUUGUGAAAUCCCUCGGCUCAACCGAGGAAUUGCAACCAAAACUAUAUUUCUUGAGUGCUGGAGAGGAAAGUGGAAUUCCUAGUGUAGCGGUGAAAUGCGUAGAUAUUAGGAGGAACACCAGUGGCGAAGGCGACUUUCUGGACAGUAACUGACGUUGAGGCACGAAAGUGUGGGGAGCAAACAGGAUUAGAUACCCUGGUAGUCCACACCGUAAACGAUGGAUACUAGGUGUAGGGGAUGAAUAAUCUUCUGUGCCGUCGCAAACGCAGUAAGUAUCCCACCUGGGGAGUACGGCCGCAAGGUUGAAACUCAAAGGAAUUGACGGGGGCCCGCACAAGCAGUGGAGUAUGUGGUUUAAUUCGACGCAACGCGAAGAACCUUACCAGGGCUUGACAUAUACAUGAAAAUCUAAGAGAUUAGAUCCCUCUUCGGAGCAUGUAUACAGGUGGUGCAUGGUUGUCGUCAGCUCGUGUCGUGAGAUGUUGGGUUAAGUCCCGCAACGAGCGCAACCCCUGUUCUUAGUUGCCAGCAUGUAAAGAUGGGAACUCUAAGAAGACUGCCGGUGAUAAAUCGGAGGAAGGUGGGGACGACGUCAAAUCAUCAUGCCCUUUAUGUCCUGGGCUACACACGUACUACAAUGGCUGUAACAAAGGGAAGCGAACCCGCGAGGGGAAGCAAAACCCAUAAAAGCAGUCUCAGUUCGGAUUGAAGGCUGAAAUUCGCCUUCAUGAAGCCGGAAUUGCUAGUGAUGGCAGGUCAGCAUACUGCCGUGAAUACGUUCCCGGGCCUUGUACACACCGCCCGUCACACCAUGAGAGUUGGGGAUACCCGAAGCCUGUGAGCUAACUGUAAAGAGGCAGCAGUCGAAGGUAGAAUCAAUGAUUGGGGUGAAGU
This 1450-nucleotide ribosomal RNA is filed under the name uncultured organism. RNAcentral describes it as "SSU rRNA". It matches the Rfam family "Bacterial small subunit ribosomal RNA". The record is from RNAcentral.